Molecule: ribosomal RNA, 253 nt
Filed under: uncultured bacterium
Lineage: Bacteria
Description: partial 16S ribosomal RNA
Rfam family: Bacterial small subunit ribosomal RNA
Source: RNAcentral
UACGAAGGGGGCUAGCGUUGCUCGGAAUCACUGGGCGUAAAGGGUGCGUAGGCGGGUCUUUAAGUCAGGGGUGAAAUCCUGGAGCUCAACUCCAGAACUGCCUUUGAUACUGAAGAUCUUGAGUUCGGGAGAGGUGAGUGGAACUGCGAGUGUAGAGGUGAAAUUCGUAGAUAUUGGAAGAACACCAGUGGCGAAGGCGGCUCACUGGCCCGAUACUGACGCUGAGGUGCGAAAGCGUGGGGAGCAAACAGGG